ACACUCCUGCGGGAGGCAGCAGUGGGGAAUAUUGGACAAUGGGCGCAAGCCUGAUCCAGCCAUGCCGCGUGAGUGAUGAAGGCCCUAGGGUUGUAAAGCUCUUUCACCGGUGAAGAUAAUGACGGUAACCGGAGAAGAAGCCACGGCUAACUUCGUGCCAGCAGCCGCGGUAAUACGAAGGGGGCUAGCGUUGUUCGGAUUUACUGGGCGUAAAGCGCACGUAGGCGGACUAUUAAGUCAGGGGUGAAAUCCCGGGGCUCAACCCCGGAACUGCCUGUGAUACUGGUAGUCUUGAGUUCGAGAGAGGUGAGUGGAAUUCCGAGUGUAGAGGUGAAAUUCGUAGAUAGUCGGAGGAACACCAGUGGCGAAGGCGGCUCACUGGCUCGAUACUGACGCUGAGGUGCGAAAGCGUGGGGAGCAAACAGGAUUAGAUACCCGUGUAGUCCCAU
This 449-nucleotide ribosomal RNA is filed under the name uncultured organism. Its description in RNAcentral is "partial 16S ribosomal RNA". It matches the Rfam family "Bacterial small subunit ribosomal RNA", at positions 333 to 798 of the family's 1533-position model. The record is from RNAcentral.